AAUAGAUACCCCGGUAGUCCACGCCGUAAACUAUGGAUGCUAGCUGUUAGAAGUAUCGACCCUUCUAGUAGCGAAGCUAACGCGUUAAGCAUCCCGCCUGUGGAGUACGGUCGCAAGACUAAAACAUAAAGGAAUUGACGGGGACCCGCACAAGCGGUGGAGCGUGUUGUUUAAUUCGAUGGUAAGCGAAGAACCUUACCCAGGCUUGACAUCCUUGGAAGCACUGCGAAAGCAGAGUGUGCCUUCGGGAACCAAGUGACAGGUGCUGCAUGGCCGUCGUCAGCUCGUGUCGUGAGAUGUUUGGUUAAGUCCAUCAACGAGCGCAACCCUUUUAGUUAGUUGUAUUUCUCUAGCUAGACUGCCCUGGUAACAGGGAGGAAGGAGGGGAUGAUGUCAGGUCAGUAUUGCCCUUACGCCUGGGGCUACAAACACGCUACAAUGGCCGGUACAAAGGGCAGCCAAGUCGCGAGACGGAGCAAAUCCCAUCAAAGCCGGUCUCAGUUCGGAUUGCAGGCUGAAACUCG
This 524-nucleotide ribosomal RNA is filed under the name uncultured bacterium. RNAcentral describes it as "bacterial SSU rRNA". It matches the Rfam family "Bacterial small subunit ribosomal RNA", at positions 777 to 1314 of the family's 1533-position model. The record is from RNAcentral.